Molecule: ribosomal RNA, 301 nt
Filed under: uncultured bacterium
Lineage: Bacteria
Description: partial 16S ribosomal RNA
Rfam family: Bacterial small subunit ribosomal RNA
Source: RNAcentral
CAGUAGCCGCGGUAAUACGAAGGGUGCAAGCGUUAAUCGGAAUUACUGGGCGUAAAGCGCGCGUAGGUGGUUCGCCAAGUUGGAUGUGAAAUCCCCGGGCUCAACCUGGGAACUGCAUCCAAAACUGGCGAGCUAGAGUAUGGUAGAGGGUGGUGGAAUUUCCUGUGUAGCGGUGAAAUGCGUAGAUAUAGGAAGGAACAUCAGUGGCGAAGGCGACCACCUGGACUGAUACUGACACUGAGGUGCGAAAGCGUGGGGAGCAAACAGUAUUAGAUACCCCUGUAGUCCCUGUCUCUUAUAC